Molecule: non-coding RNA, 21 nt
Filed under: Arabidopsis thaliana (thale cress)
Lineage: Eukaryota; Viridiplantae; Streptophyta; Magnoliopsida; Brassicales; Brassicaceae
Source: RNAcentral
UUAGAUUCACGCACAAACUCC